CUGCUGCCUCCCGUAGGAGUCUGGUCCGUGUCUCAGUACCAGUGUGGGGGGCCUUCCUCUCAGAACCCCUACGCAUCGUCGGCACGGUGGGCCGUUACCCCGCCGUCUACCUAAUGCGACGCAUGUCCAUCCUAUGCCGGAUCUCUCCUUUAACCUCCCGGGAAUGCUCCCAAAAGGUGUUACGCGGUAUUAGGCCGGAUUUCUCCGGGUUAUCCCCCUGCAUAGGGCAGGUUACAUACGUGUUACUCACCCGUGCGCCGGUCGCCGG
This 268-nucleotide ribosomal RNA is filed under the name uncultured bacterium. RNAcentral's name for it is "partial 16S ribosomal RNA". The record is from RNAcentral.